Long non-coding RNA from Equus asinus (donkey), 4955 nucleotides. Lineage: Eukaryota; Metazoa; Chordata; Mammalia; Perissodactyla; Equidae. The record is from Ensembl.
CCUCUGGUGUCCUUCCACCCCAAUUCCCUCCCUCAGGGAGACAGUGGGGGCCCUUUGGCUGUCACUCCCUGUGCAUGGUCUGACCCCAUGCCCCUUCCCCCAGCACGGGGCUGGGGGAGCACAAGGUGGGACAGGGCAGUGACCCUGGGAGGAAGGGGCCACUCCUGCCCACGUCGGGGGAGAGAUGUGAGCGUCCCAGGUCACUGGCUCCUGCUGCUGUAAUGGGGACCCCCUCCCCCAUUGACUUCUCCACCUCCCUUUCUCCCUUCUUCCCCCUCAGUGGUUUUUUGUGUCACUGUGCCAUUUUUAUUUUAUUCCUUUUUUUUCCCCUUUUCACAGAGAAAUAAAGGUCUAGAAAUAGCUGGUCCUUUGGUGUUAGUCACUAGUAUGGAGGAGGGGGCACCACAUCAGGGCCAUGGUCUCUCUGCCCUCUCUGGGGAAGACCUAAUUAGUGGGCUUGCCACACCCAUGUGUCCCAAGAAUGGGGAGGAUUCUCUGGGGAGCACCAGGAGUGCAGCUAGCCUGUGUGGUAGAGAGUCCACAGGGUGUCUCUGGCCAGCAGUCCUGUGUGCGGUUUAGUUUCGCAGAUAUUGACCGAGUAUGCAGUGGGUAAGAGCAGGUGCCUUGGAGCCAGACUGCCUGGUUCCAGAUCCCAGCUCCUACACUUAAUAGCUGUGUCAUCUUGAGUAGGUUACCAGGUCUCUCUGAACUCAGUUUUGAACUGUGUUAGAUGGGGAUAGCAGUAGAAUCUAAAUCAAAGGGCCAGUUGUGCAGACUAAAUAAGUUCAUACAUAUAAAAUGUGAAACAGUGCAUGGCACGUGAGAAGCAGUCAGUCAGGGUUAGCCGUAACUUGCCAGAGAACCCCGUGUGGGUCAGGCCAUGUCCCUCAGGAGGUCUCAGGAUAAUCAGGGCUAUAACACAGCAGAAGGGGCCUGUGGUAAGACAGAACCAGUUGUCCUUCAGUUUCUGUUUGCCCAUUUCUUUACUUAGAUAGACACUCUCAUUUUUAACUGUGCACACGACUGCCUGGAUUCAAGGUAUUUUUCCAGUGUCUCUUAAAAUUUGGUGUGGCAUUGUGAGUAAAUUCUGGCUAAUAAUGCGUGAACAUAAUGGGUAUGUGCAACUUCUAGGAAGUGUUCUCAAAGGAGGAGAGAUGCACCCCCUUGUUUCUUCCUUCCUGUGCUCUGGAAUGUAGACCAGAUGACCAGAGUGGGAGCAGUCAUCUCAGACCAGGAAGUUAUCUUAAGAGUAUAGGCCAAGCAAGGCGGCAGAACAAGAGAGAAGGAGCCUGGGUUCCUGAUGCAGUGAAGACUCAGGCCAGUAUCCAAGUAUCUGUCACGUGGGAGAGUUAAACUGUUUAAGUGACUGUUUGGGGGUUCAUUACUUGAAGGUCACCCAAAUUCUAACUGAUGCAGGGGCCAAAGAGCUCUGGAGAGAGGAGCAGGAGACUUAGUGGAUGCUGUUGCAUGUAAGGUUUCAAGGAGGACGUGAUACUUAAGUGAAAUUUGCCUUAGCAGAAUGGAAGGGAAAUUGGCUUUGGGUAGCAAGGUGAUUUCACCAGCUCAGCCCUCGUGUUGCCAAGUCCCUAGUGUUUAUUAGACCCACUUGGGUCCUUGGGGAUGAGGGUAAAGGAGACCUUGUUCCUCCCAUUAUUAGCUUAUGGUUAGUUUCAUAAGGGCAGGGCCUGUGGUUUAAACUCAGCCCACCUACCCCUGGCACAAAUUACCUUUCCUAGGAUAUAAAUAUUUGAAGGACUGAAUGAGUGAAGAAUUGAUGAGAUUGGGAGCUGGGGCAAUAGGAUCACUGAGCAUGAUGUUGAAUGUUCUAGCUUAGUAGGCAACCUACCAAUAAUUGUUGAAGGAACAUUGAAAUGAAUGAUCCAUGUUGUUCCAGUUAUAUUUUGCUGCAUAACAACCCACCCCCAAAACUUAGUGACUUAAAACAAUAAAAACAUGAUUCCUCAUAAUCUGCAGUCUAGGCUCUGCUCAGUUGGCAGGUUCAUCUGCUCCUUGGGGUGUGUACUGGGGUGGAAUGAUCAAGAUGACUUUUUCACUCCUAUGUCUGGCACCUCAGCUAAGGCCUGGUACAGUGACCGCUCCAGGGUGGCUGGACCUCUUUAUCUGACAGCUUCCAGCUCCACAGAAGUUUCCAAGAGAACAAGUUCCAGAUUACAACUGUUUUCCAAGCCUCUGCUUGCAUCACAAGCCAAAACAAGUCGCAUAGCCAAGCCCAGAGUCAUUGUGGUAGGGAGCCACGUAAGAUGUGAAACCUGCAGGUGUGGUUUAUUGGGCGUGCCACUGUAACAGUCUACUGCCUGUGGUCCAGAGACAAAAUUUUUAGUUCCAACUUAGCUCUGCUACUAACGUGUGGGGGCAUCAACAGUAUAAGGAGAUGAGGCUGAUUCCAGAGUGUAUACAGCAGCUGGGAGCAAGCUGAAGAUUUAAACUUCAUUCUGGAAGGCACAAGCAGCCACAGGGGUUUUUGGCAAAGGAGUGACAGCAUUAGAAUCGAAGGAGGAGACCUGAGGCUGGGAGCCCCGGGAGGAUUCUGGUAUGAGACAGGAGUUUUAACUGGAGGCGGUAAUGUAUAGUUAGGGAGAUUUUGGGUAAAAAAGGAAAUGGAAAGAUUGCCGAGGAGACAGAUUGGGCCUUGGUGACACCUGGAUUAGGGGAGUAAAGGGAAGGAUGCAGUCACCUUGGCAACCAGGAUUCCAGUCUUCCUAGCCUCACCACCCACUCCUCCCUGGGAAACAUUCUUGGUUCCUGCAAACCCACACAUGCUUCAACAUCUCCAGCCUUUUGCUUAUAAUGUGAACCUCUACAUUGGAAGCUUUCUCUGCUCCUUACUCUUCAUGGAAACAGAAGUAAUUUGGCAUGGAGAGUGGGGAAAGUGAAAUGGAGUGACACAGGUGAACAUAGAGAAGUAUGUAGGGGCCAGAUCCCAAAAAGAUCCAGAUAGCAGGGUGAAGGGCUUGGACUUGCCUUGAGGGAGAGGGUCCAGUAAGACUUGAGGAGAGCCUUCUGGGGUCAAACAAAUCUAGCAGACCAGGGAGGAGGCUGAGAUGAUUGUCCUGGAGGGUGAGGACAAGGCUUCAGUGGGGGCUUUGGCUGAGGAAAGAGGGCAGAGAAAUUGAGGAAGUGGACUUGAUGCCACUUCUCUUUUUCAAACCCUAAGAACUUACACAAGAGGCAGCCGGAAGGAAGGCCCUGUACCUCUCCUCUUCUCAGUUCUAAUCAAAACAUCUGAAGUUGAAACACAUUCCUUGUCAUCAGCCUCCUGCCUGGAGGAAAUCCCCACUCCCUUUAGUCCUUCCCUGUCCAUCUGUGUUUUCCAGAUGGGGGAACAGACCCAGACUGUUUUGACUUUGAUGUGGGGUCUUAGGACUGACCAGACCAGAACUUGACAAAUCUCUCCCAGAAGGGAAAAAUCCCUUAAUUUCCUCUAGUAGCUUAUGGUACUCAGUGCCCAGCCAAAGAGGGAAGCUGGCCCUACAAGCUAGACAAGAAGAUGCAGGGCAUGGCCAGCUUAGUAGCACUGUAGGAAAGAUGGCUCCUGAUUUCUUAGCCAUGAUGCAGAAUGCAGAAAUCUCUGGUAGGCUUUUGAAUGAGUCAUUGGUGACAAAAGCUGAUCUGACCUGAACUGCUGUAGUAACAAAACCUCACUUAGACUGCUAUUUAGUGUUUUAUCCCUCUCAUAUGGAAUGUAAAUCACAUAAGAAAUGUUCGUGUGUUAGGAUUAUAGGGAAUAUAUUGAAUUAGUAAUCAAAAAACUGUCCACAAAGAAAAGCGCAAGCCUGGAUGGCUUCACUGAAUUCUACCAAAAUAUGUAACAAAUUAAUACCAAUUCUUCACAAACUCUUCCAAAAAGUAGAAAGGGAGGAAACAUUUCCCAACACAUUCUGAGGCCAGCAUUAUGCUGAUAACCAAAAGGAGACAAAGACACAAAGUGAAAAAAGUCUACAGACCAUUGUCUCUCAGGAACAGGUACAAAAAUGCUCAACACAAUAGUAACAACCCAAAUCCAGCAACACAUAAAGAGAAUUGUACACCAUGACCAAGUGGAAUUUAUCGUAAGCAUUCAAGGUUAGUGUAACAUCAGAAAAAUCAAUGAAAUACUCCAUAUCAAUAGAAUAAAAAAAAAACCAUGUGAUCCUCGCAAUUGAAGAAAAAGGAUUUGACAAAAUAAAACACCCUUUUGUGAUUAAAAACACUCAACAAACUAGGAAUAGAAGGGAACUUCCUUAACCUGAUAAAAGACAUCUACAAAAAACCCACAGCUGACAUAAUACUUAGUGAAAGACAGUGCUUUCCACAGAAGAUAAGGAACAAGACAAGAAUGUCCACCCUCACCACUUCUAUUUAGCAUGAUACUGGAAGUUCCAGCCAGAGUAAUUAGGCAAGAAAAAAGUAAAAGGGCAUGCAGAUUGGAAAGGAAGAACUGAAAAUUCUGCAGAUGACAUGAUUUUGUAUAUAGGAAAUCCUAAAGAAUCCAGUAAAAAAAAUUUGAGCUAAUAAACGAGUUCAUCAAGGUUGCAGGAUACAAGAUCAACAUGCAAAAGUAAUUUGUAUUAUUGCAAAUAACAAGUGUCUCAUGAGGAUGUGGAGAUAAUGGAACCCUUGUACACUGCUGGUGGGAAUGUAAAAUGGUGCAGCCACUUUGGAAAACAUUGUUAGUCCCACUAAGUUACCAUUUUACCCAGAAAUUUUACUCCUAGGUAUGUUCCCCGUAAGAACUGAAAACACACAGCCACACAAGAACUUGCUCACAAAUAUUUGUAACAGCAUUGUUUGCAAUAGUCAACAUGUGGAAAUCACCCAAAUGUCAAUCAACUGAGGAAUGGACAAACAAAACGUGGUGUGUCCAUGUAAUGAACAUGACCCAUAAAAAUGAGUGAAACAUUGAUAGUGCUACAACAUGGAUGAACACGGAAAGCAUUAUGCUAAGUGAAAGAAGC